AGUGAACGCUGGCGGUAGGCCUAACACAUGCAAGUCGAACGGCAGCACAGUAAGAGCUUGCUCUUACGGGUGGCGAGUGGCGGACGGGUGAGGAAUACAUCGGAAUCUACUUUUUCGGGGGGGAUAACGUAGGGAAACUGACGCUAAUACCGCAUACGACCUACGGGUGAAAGCAGGGGAUCUUCGGACCUUGCGCGAUUGAAAGAGCCGAUGUCGGAUUAGCUAGUUGGCGGGGUAAAGGCCCACCAAGGCGACGAUCCGUAGCUGGUCUGAGAGGAUGAUCAGCCACACUGGAACUGAGACACGGUCCAGACUCCUACGGGAGGCAGCAGUGGGGAAUCUUGGACAAUGGGCGCAAGCCUGAUCCAGCCAUACCGCGUGGGUGAAGAAGGCCUUCGGGUUGUAAAGCCCUUUUGUUGGGAAAGAAAAGCAGCAGGUUAAUACCCCGAUGUUCUGACGGUACCCAAAGAAUAAGCCCCGGCUAACUUCGUG
Molecule: ribosomal RNA, 492 nt
Filed under: uncultured bacterium
Lineage: Bacteria
Description: partial 16S ribosomal RNA
Rfam family: Bacterial small subunit ribosomal RNA
Source: RNAcentral